UCUUGCGUACGGCGGUGCAGGUCCCCAGAUGCUGAGGGCUUGGGGGUUAGUUCCUCUCUGCUUUGGGGUGGUGUUUGCGCGUUGCUUUCGUCUUUUCAGAUGUUCGUGUCUUUCUAGACUGCGAUUUUAUUGGGAAGUUACAGUCAAUGUAGUGUAAGAUGCCUUAUGGUGAAAUUGAAGCGAAAUCCUUGGGUCAUGGUGAAGAACUAACAGGUGAACCAUGCUAUAAAAAAUUGAAGUCAACUGAAGAGGCUUAUGUUUUUUCCCAUCAUGGUAGUGCUAAUUUUCACAGAAUCCAAGAAAAAACUGGGAGUGAUUGGGUCCCUGUGACCACUCUUGAUGUCAGAGGACAUAGUUAUGCUCAGGAGGACAAAACCAAAGCUACAGACUCACUGAAACCUGUGCAUGAAGAGAUGUGUAGUAAUAGUAGAUCAGAUGUUAUUGAAUCCAUUGAUCCAGGUCCUGCAUUGGUAUCCACAGAUGAUGAGAUAUAUAGCACAAGUAAAGCAUUUAUAGGACCCAUUUACAAACCUCCUGAGAAGAAGAAAUGUAACGAAAGGGGAAAUCACUCAGUCACAAGCAGUGGUAUAGAUGGCAAAGGGAGACGAGAACAGAAACAGAAAUUCAACUCCAAAGUAUCAGAACUUGACAAUGAAUUAUUCCAAUUUUACAAAGAAAUUGAAGAGCUUGAAAAUGAAAAAGAUGAUUUGGAAGGCAGUUAUAAUGAACCUGAACUCUCUGAGGAAAAACUUGUUACAUAUUGUCAGGAUCAUAAUAAUGAUCUGUUAAAAUCUGAAGAAGGAAAGGAAAGAGAUAAUAGUAACGUUCUUCAGUCACAUUGCGGUUACCAGCAGCACGUGGGGAACGAGCCAGGCAAAUAUCCUUAUAAUGGACAAGUAAUACCUCCAUUUUGUGAUGAUUCAUUUACUUCCUUCAGGCCUGAAUGGCAAUCAGUGCAUUCUUUUUUAGUACCCCACGGUCCUCCUCCUCCCAGUUUUAACUAUCAUUUAAGUUUUCAAAGAUUCAGUGCUCCACCAAAUCCACCAUCAAAUAUUUUCCAUGUCCAAGAUGGCUCUCAGCAUCAAAAUGAGUAUUAUGUAAAUAGUUGUCACAUUAAUUGGAAUUGUUUGACUUUUGAUCCGAACAAUGACUAUAUUGACUGUAGUGAGAAUACCGGUAGAGAUCAUUCCUCUACAAAUGACUACAGUGAGCAAGAUGAAUAUGUGAGUAAUGGUUUCUAUGAAACCAGGGAAGGAUGCUGGGAAAAUCCUAUGGACAAGCAUAAUGGAACAGGCAGGCUUAUGAACCAGCAUUUUCAAGAGGAAAAGUUAAAUAAAUUGCAGAAGUUACUUAUUCUUUUAAGAGGUUUGCCUGGUUCUGGGAAAACAACGUUGUCUCGAAUUCUGCUUGGUCAGAGUCGUGAUGGCAUUGUGUUCAGCACUGAUGACUAUUUUCACCACCAAGAUGGGUACAGGUAUAAUGUUAAUCAACUUGGUGAUGCCCAUGACUGGAACCAGAACAGAGCAAAACAAGCUAUCAAUCAGGGGAGAUCUCCAGUUAUAAUAGACAACACUAAUACACAAGCUUGGGAAAUGAAACCAUAUGUGGAAAUGGCCAUAGGAAAAGGAUACAGAGUAGAGUUUCAUGAACCUGAAACUUGGUGGAAAUUUGAUCCUGAAGAAUUAGAAAAGAGGAAUAAACAUGGUGUAUCUCGAAAGAAGAUUGCUCAGAUGUUGGAUCGUUACGAAUACGAAAUGUCCAUCUCUAUUGUAAUGAAUUCGGUGGAACCGCCACACAAAAGCACACAAAGACCUCCUCCUUCACAGGGGAGACAGAGAGAAAGAGAUUUGAAGAAAACUGGGCACAGGCUCAGCAAAACCAAACAGAAGAGAAACAGAAAAAGAAAUAAAAAGCAGAACAGUCAUAGUAAAAUCAUGGGAGAAAACUCAUUUGAAAUCUUAAGUUACCAUAUACCAGGGGAUCAGGACCCAUCCCAGAGUGAAGAGGAAGACCUGGAAGACACCAAAAGAGAAUCAGUGCAUGACUUCACUGGUGGGCUGGGAGAUGAACUAAGAGAUUUAGUAAAUGGCCACAAAGAUGAGGUGUGGAAAAGCAUAAAUCCUGAAGAGAGUUUUCCAAAUGUUACAUCUGAAAUUGAGCGGGAAAAUGCACCAAAAAAUUACCUCUCUAAAGAAAACAAUGAUUUGUUUCUAAAUAUGUCACUGAUGUCAAAUGAAAACUCUGUUACUUGCCUGACAAUGACUCAGGAUCUUUCCUGCGUAGCAAGUGAUGACUACAUGAAGAUAGGAAAGCAUACUGGAAAUAGGCAACCCAUGGCAUCAGACAUCCAGGGUGGAUCCACUGACAUCUCCUGCUUAUCUAUGCAGAAGAGAGAGAAAGUAGAUAAAAGACUCACAAAUGAAACAAUUCUUUGCCAUCAGUAUGGGUCCAGAACUUCAGAGAAAGAUUUAAGAAAGAAACAAGGAAUAAAUGCAACUAAAAACAACUAUUGGGCUCUUUUUCCAGACAAUCUAACUGAUGAAGAAUUAUGGAUGGGCUCUGAGAGACAACCCUGUUUAGGGAGCUGGCCUGAGGGACCUCAUAAGUUUAUAUGUGAACAAAGACCAAAGAAAGAUAGAUGGCAAAAGCUGGUCUCUCCGGACAGCAGGGGACAAUUGAUUACAUUGAUCUCUGCUUGUGAAGAAACUUCAGUAUCAAGGAGCUGUCCAGAAACAUUGAUAGAGGAGAAACUAUUGAUAGAAAAUGAAGAUUUGUCACCUCCAACUGAGAAUACAGAUUCAUUCAUAGAAAGUGAAACAAGUAUCAUUAGAAUCUGCUUGCCUAAACUGGAUAUCCCAAAGAGUGACUUACACUCAACAAAGAAUAAGAAAAGGAGAGAGAAAAGGAUUUUCAAUUUGGCACCAAAUUUUAACUUACUGGAACAGAGAUAUAUCAAUGUAAAAGAAAGAGGGUCAUGUGGCUUGUCAACAGAAAGCAAAGGACUAGAAAUUAUUUUGGAAGAAGAAAAAGAUAGAAUUUCAGAAAUAAAUCAUAAAAAGGAGAAUACACGAAAACUUAUGACCUUGAAUCAUCAUCAUCAUCCAUCGUGGUUUUACUUUGAUAUUAUCAAAGAUCUUCCUCUAAAUGUUGGUAGACAAUCUUAUUCUUAUUACCUGCCAUUUAAUAGACUAAGCCACUCUGUAUAUUUUUACAAAAACCCUAUUCCUUCUCUUGUGCUACAAUAUACAGCUAGCUUUCAGAUGGUAUCUUUUACAAGCAAGAAAUCAUUUUUGACUUUCAAGUCUCAGACAAGAGUAGAUAACCAACUAAGUGACCGAGGAUUUAGUUCUUCAGAAAUUUUAAGUAGCCAACCUGAUCCUUUCCACUCUUUUAGGGUCACUUCUGAUCUUCACUUUUUAAGUGAAAGUUUCGACAAAAGGCUGAAGACAUGGGAAGAACCUAAGCCCUUACAGUUCUUGCAAACUGAGGAUGACCAAGAUUUAACAAGCACUGGCUUUGAUUCCCUUGAGCUGCAAUUAUCACAAGUGUUUGCCUUUCAACUAGUAAAGCUUUUUGGAUCCCCCGGAGUUCCAAUGGCAGUAGACGUAGAGGACCCAUAGCAAAUGGUGCUUGAUCUUCAGUCAUGUGCCGGCCUCCACCUCAAGGACCAGCAGUCUUAAAUGUCUUUGAGCACUUAGAAUCCUUGGACUCUCUAUAUAAAUAGACACUGAGAAGAACAAAGGAUGAGGCAGGCGAACAGUAAUGAAACAAAUAAAGAUGGGUUACCCUUUUUUUUUUUAAUCUUCCUAUUUUAUACAUUUCCCUUGUUUGGCAAAUGGCCCUUUCCUUUCUCAUGUGUAGUAUGGCUCAUAGAUAACAGAAUAGUAAAGAGGGUGGAAAUGUGAAGGUUAAAUGAUGAAAAAAUAUCUGAAAUAAGUUGAAUUUUUAAAACUAUCUGAAAAAGAUACAAAGAUUCCUUCUGGCUCUUGUUUUUGGAAAUGAAAAAUCCACCUAUUAUUAAAACACAUUAAAAUGUUUUUGUAGUAUCCUGAGUAAAAUUCUAAGUAAACUUCUAAAUAAUACAUAUAUUUAAGAUGCCAAAAGUCUUAGGAAAUUGAACACAUAUUCCAAUUUUUCCUUACCUGUAAAUCAGUUGCAGUGUUAGUGAUUUAAUUGAGUUGAAUGUGUCCUCUUCCUUGGGGACAGAAACUGUAAGAGCCAAGAAGUCAAAGCUCCAUUCCCCACAGUUCUCCUGUAUCUUCUUGAUAUUCUUUCUUUUCUAAACAUACCAGGAGUAGAGGACCCAUACCAGGGUCUCUGGGUCCUGCUCUUCUCUCAGAGCUUAUCUUUCAGAGGUUUUUACAUUGCUCCUAAAUUUCUGCUGUUCUGGGCAAAAUUGGGGCCCAGAUCCCAGACCCAAGACUGGCUAAGUCUCAGGGUGAGGCAUCAAGCAGUUAUUAACCUGCUCUUGAGGGUCUAGCAUUAUGUUUAUCAUUUUUGUAAACUGUGAAUAAUCACUUCUUAAACUGUUUGCUGCAGUAUGCUAUCCUAGACACACUGGAGAAAUAUACCAAUUAAAAAAAUUAAAAUGCAUUUGCUUUAGGGAAUUUUGAAAGAUAAGUGAAGUCAUUUUAGGUCAGGGGUCUUAGUCCUAGGUCCAUAUUCUAAAUGUAUGCAAAAAUUUUUGUGUCAUUUUGAACAUUUUUCUGAGAAAGUUAAUAGAUUUUAUCACUUUCUGGGGCAGGGGAGGGGGUGUCAGUGCAUGACUUGAAAAGAUUAACAAUCACUGUAUUAAAUUAACAUCAGAAAACAUGAAGGCACUGGUGAGAAAAGAUUCUAAACCUCCUCCUCCCUUGAAUGCACCAUCAUAAUCAACAGUAAUGAUCAAGCAUCCAUUAAUUAAGCUUUGGAAAGCUUUCCAGAGGAAAUAGACCUCAUUCAUCAAAUAGCUUACCUUCUAAAUGGGGAGCAAGACUAACACAAAACAAAAUUAUUGCACACAGAAAAUAUAAAUGACAAACUUAUGAAUAUUCUAUGAGCAAGGUUAGCAGUGCUUAAGGGAUUGUUGAAGAGAAUAUGGGGUUAUGGUUUUUUGGGGGAUGGCUUUAAUGUGAAAAUGAAUUAUAAGCAGUGCUUAUACAAAUGUAGCUUAAAAAAUAUAUAGGGAAAGAAUUUCACAUUUGGAUAUUGUGGGUGCUUAAAAAAGGAGAGGAAAAACUUAAGUGGAAACUGUCAACUGAUUUGUUUGGCCAAGUUGGAGAAGCAAAGCUUUGAUGCAUGUAGGGCUAGUGGCCUUGUAAAUGAAGCAGGGAGCUCAAAUGAAUCCUAGUAUUAGGAGGUAUUAUAAUUAUAUAUAAAGCCACACACAGGUCUGAAGAAACCAAACUACUCUUAUUGCCAGGGACAUGUGUGUAUAGGAAAAAUAUUUUGUGUGAUUUGAUAUGGCUGAUAUGUAUAUAUCAGUGUUUGGACUUAUUUGUGAACAUCUUAAUUAUCUGUGAGGAUUUUUCCCCAGACACUCUUAUGUGGAAGGAAUAGUUUACAGUAAGACUGAACUUGCUAUAGUUGUGCUGUUUCUACCUGUCACGGGAAGGGAUAACUACCUGAAUUUCUAUGCCCUGUGACAAUGCCACUUGAAGCAAAUAUAUAAUGUGUGUUAUAAUAUAUUUAUUAUUGAUAUAUAUUUUUACUUAAUGAAAAUUUGAACUAUGAUACAUAUCGCUUUACAUGUAUAAAUAAGCAUUUCCAUUGUGUCAGGAUAGUGUUUACUAAUAAAGGCCUGAGAUAAACUAACUCCUGCUCUAGCCAUCAGUGAAAUAUCUUCCAAACCAGGUUCUUACCAUUAUGUCAGUCUAAAUAUCAUGUUUGCAUAUCUUCACAUUUAGGGUAAAAAAUCUGUAUGACAUUGGAGAUGAAAUUUGUUCACUUUUAUUUUCACAGAAUCUUUGAUGCCUGAUGACUGUGUGGUUUCCCUUGACUGGAAGACACUGAAGAUGAUCUAUUUGCAAUGGAAGACUUCACUAGAGAAAAGACAGAAGAAGAUUGGUUAAAAAUGAGAAUUUCUAGA
This is an RNA transcript of Nyctereutes procyonoides (raccoon dog), 6067 nucleotides long. It is a transcript of the gene named NEDD4-binding protein 2-like 2, with no coding region annotated. The transcript is spliced from 9 exons. The record is from RefSeq and is a predicted model, not a curated record. NCBI's taxonomy places the organism in Eukaryota, Metazoa, Chordata, Mammalia, Carnivora, Canidae.